This 206-nucleotide ribosomal RNA is filed under the name uncultured bacterium. RNAcentral describes it as "partial 16S ribosomal RNA". It matches the Rfam family "Bacterial small subunit ribosomal RNA", at positions 568 to 774 of the family's 1533-position model. The record is from RNAcentral.
CGCGUAGGCGGCCUUGUAAGUCUCGUGUGAAAGCCCUCGGCUUAACUGAGGAUCUGCACGGGAUACUGCGAGGCUUGAGUUCGGGAGAGGAAAGCGGAAUUCCGGGUGUAGCGGUGAAAUGCGUAGAUAUCCGGAGGAACACCAGUGGCGAAGGCGGCUUUCUGGACCGACACUGACGCUGAUGCGCGAAAGCUAGGGAGCAAACG